This 239-nucleotide ribosomal RNA is filed under the name uncultured bacterium. RNAcentral's name for it is "partial 16S ribosomal RNA". It matches the Rfam family "Bacterial small subunit ribosomal RNA", at positions 99 to 334 of the family's 1533-position model. The record is from RNAcentral.
CGAACGGGUGAGUAAUACGUGAGUAACCUACCUUUAACUCUGGGAUAAGCCUGGGAAACUGGGUCUAAUACCGGAUACGACCAAUCUCCGCACGGAGUGUUGGUGGAAAGCGUUAUGUAGUGGUUAUAGAUGGGCUCACGGCCUAUCAGCUUGUUGGUGAGGUAACGGCUCACCAAGGCGACGACGGGUAGCCGGCCUGAGAGGGUGACCGGCCACACUGGGACUGAGACACGGCCCAG